Molecule: ribosomal RNA, 327 nt
Filed under: uncultured eukaryote
Lineage: Eukaryota
Description: partial 18S ribosomal RNA
Rfam family: Eukaryotic small subunit ribosomal RNA
Source: RNAcentral
CCCUUAGAUGUUCUGGGCAGCACGCGCGCUACACUGACGAAUGCAACGAGCUUAUAACCUUGGCCGAAAGGUCUGGGUAAUCUCCAAAUUUCGUCGUGAUGGGGAUAGAUUAUUGCAAUUAUUAAUCUUCAACGAGGAAUGCCUAGUAAGCGCAAGUCAUCAGCUUGCGUUGAUUACGUCCCUGCCCUUUGUACACACCGCCCGUCGCUCCUACCGAUUGAAUGGUCCGGUGAAGCGUUCGGACCGUGGCCUUUGGACGGUUCGCCGUCUGUUGGCUGCGGGAAGUUCGUUAAACCUUAUCAUUUAGAGGAAGGAGAAGUCGUAACA